RNAcentral lists this ribosomal RNA (484 nucleotides) under uncultured bacterium. RNAcentral describes it as "bacterial SSU rRNA". It matches the Rfam family "Bacterial small subunit ribosomal RNA", at positions 28 to 507 of the family's 1533-position model. The record is from RNAcentral.
GAUGAACGCUAGCGGCAGGCUUAACACAUGCAAGUCGAGGGGCAGCACGGGUAGCAAUACUUGGUGGCGACCGGCGCAAGGGUGCGUAACGCGUGAGCAACAUGCCCGCAUCAGGGGGAUAAUCCAUGGAAACGUGGUCUAAUACCCCAUAGUAAGUUUUUGAGGCAUCUCGAAGAUUUUAAAGCUUUGGUGGAUACGGAUUGGCUCGCGUGACAUUAGCUAGAUGGUAAGGUAACGGCUUACCAUGGCUACGAUGUCUAGGGGUUCUGAGAGGAAGGUCCCCCACACUGGAACUGAGACACGGUCCAGACUCCUACGGGAGGCAGCAGUGAGGAAUAUUGGACAAUGGAUGGAAAUCUGAUCCAGCCAUGCCGCGUGCAGGAAGACGGCCCUAUGGGUUGUAAACUGCUUUUGUAUGGGAGCAAUAAGAUCUACGUGUAGAUUGAUGAGAGUACCAUACGAAUAAGCACCGGCUAACUCCGUG